Molecule: transfer RNA, 72 nt
Filed under: Capra hircus (goat)
Lineage: Eukaryota; Metazoa; Chordata; Mammalia; Artiodactyla; Bovidae
Also listed under: 1 other name
Rfam family: tRNA
About the family: Transfer RNA (tRNA) molecules are approximately 80 nucleotides in length.
Source: Rfam by way of RNAcentral
UCCCUUGUGGCUCAGCUGGUAAAGAAUCCACCUUCAGUGUGGGAGACCUGGGUUUGAUUCCUGGCUUGGGAA